This 414-nucleotide ribosomal RNA is filed under the name uncultured bacterium. RNAcentral's name for it is "bacterial SSU rRNA". It matches the Rfam family "Bacterial small subunit ribosomal RNA", at positions 29 to 428 of the family's 1533-position model. The record is from RNAcentral.
AACGAACGCUGGCGGCGCGCCUAAUACAUGCAAGUCGAGCGAGAAGGUUCCUUCGGGAGCGAGUAAAGCGGCGCACGGGUGAGUAACACGUAGGUAACCUGCCCCCCAGUCUGGAACAACUAGAGGAAACUCUAGCUAAUGCCGGAUGAGACCACGAUCCCUUCGGGGGUUGCGGCCAAAGAUGGCCUCUACUUGCAAGCUAUCGCUGAGGGAUGGGCCUGCGGGCCAUUAGCUUGUUGGUGAGGUAACGGCUCACCAAGGCCGUGAUGGCUAGCUGGUCUGAGAGGAUGACCAGCCACACUGGGACUGAGACACGGCCCAGACUCCUACGGGAGGCAGCAGUGGGGAAUAUUGCGCAAUGGGCGAAAGCCUGACGCAGCGACGCCGCGUGGGUGAUGAAGGCCUCGGUCGUAA